This 1043-nucleotide long non-coding RNA is filed under the name Ornithorhynchus anatinus (platypus). Its description in RNAcentral is "lncRNA (ENSOANG00000046880.1)". Lineage: Eukaryota; Metazoa; Chordata; Mammalia; Monotremata; Ornithorhynchidae. The record is from RNAcentral.
AUGAAUGAGAGCCGGGGAGGGGCCGCCUCGGAGAGGGCAGGUGAGCGGAGAAGACCCUUGUUCAAGGAGGGACCAGCAGAGGAUUCUGGGGAAAACUGGCUCCUGAGGGGAAGAGAGGAAGGGCCGGUGAAGAACCGCCUUGGCCAGGGCAGAUCGGUACAACACUGUAGUAACAAGUCCCAAGGGAAGUUCCUUCAUAACUACCAGAGCCACACACAGUUCGGUGAGAGGGAUUCAGACCAAGUAAUAUUGGGCAAAAUGAGCUUUUUUUGGUUUUUAUUUUUCAAAUCUGAUCAGCAUUUCUGUCUUUAACAGUCAGGGUAUAAAGGCAUAAGGAAAACCUAAUCGGGAUCAGUUGCGAUCGAAGAAGGACCAUUCGUAAAUUCAAAAGCCAGCUUAUAGCUUUGAAUAAGUCAGCGUAAGUAUUUUUUUCUGACUUGCAGGUGUUACUCUGAGUAAUACUUGACUGGAGGUUGUUUUUAAAUAUUUACACUUCUCCCAGUAUUUCCAUGAAUCCAGUUUAAAAGAGAUGUUGAAUAUUAUUCAUUUUUCGUAUGGCACAGCUUUAGGAAGACUCAGUUUAACCUCUGUCCUCCGAAGAGCCUGGGACUGAAAACACAAAUAAAAUCACCGAGUUAUAGCAAUACCUUUGCUCUUGUCAUAAAACAAGAUUGAGCCUGGAAAAUAUGCCAGGUCACCAAAGCUAGCAAUAUAGUACGUUGUAGAUCGUGUGAACUCUACGCUACCUCCGUUUCCAAAUAAAUCACACUCUGUGGCUGGGGUUAUGAUUGUGCUUCAGCUAGUACCCUUUUUCUUUAGAAAUCUGAGAAGAUGUGCAAUAAAUGGGAACUCUGGAUUGUCUGCCGUGGUUAUAAAUAAAAAGUCCCCCUUCUGCAAGACUUCUUAUUGCGAUGUGAAAUGUGAAUUAGUUCACCAAAUUGGGAUAGACUCUGGAUUAUCUAUAUUACAAUAGGAUAUUUUUUCCCUAACUGUAAUAUAUGCAUUCUCUAGCGCUUUCCUUUAUCUUCGAAUACAGUAAUACC